This 187-nucleotide unclassified non-coding RNA is filed under the name Hoya obovata. RNAcentral describes it as "partial miscellaneous RNA". The record is from RNAcentral. Lineage: Eukaryota; Viridiplantae; Streptophyta; Magnoliopsida; Gentianales; Apocynaceae.
GGCAGGAUCACCAGGUAGCAUUCCUCAACGACGUCGUCACCGCACGGCCGGGCCGAGACGGGAGCGACGGUCGUGCACCAUUGGUGUCUAAUGCAUGCUCGGGCAACAAUAAGAGGCCGCGUGACCUCGAUGCCCUCAUUGUUUUCCCUAUCCAAGAGUCGAGCGAUGCCCCGUUCACCGCGACUGC